GAUGAACGCUGGCGGCGUGCUUAACACAUGCAAGUCGAACGGGAAACCUUUUAUUGAAGCUUCGGCAGAUUUAGCUGGUUUCUAGUGGCGGACGGGUGAGUAACGCGUGGGUAACCUGCCUUAUACAGGGGGAUAACAACCAGAAAUGGUUGCUAAUACCGCAUAAGCGCACAGGACCGCAUGGUCCGGUGUGAAAAACUCCGGUGGUAUAAGAUGGACCCGCGUUGGAUUUGCUAGUUGGCAGGGUAACGGCCUACCAAGGCGACGAUCCAUAGCCGGCCUGAGAGGGUGAACGGCCACAUUGGGACUGAGACACGGCCCAGACUCCUACGGGAGGCAGCAGUGGGGAAUAUUGCACAAUGGGGGAAACCCUGAUGCAGCGACGCCGCGUGAAGGAAGAAGUAUCUCGGUAUGUAAACUUCUAUCAGCAGGGAAGAUAGUGACGGUACCUGACUAAGAAGCCCCGGCUAACUACGUG
RNAcentral lists this ribosomal RNA (478 nucleotides) under uncultured bacterium. RNAcentral's name for it is "partial 16S ribosomal RNA". It matches the Rfam family "Bacterial small subunit ribosomal RNA", at positions 28 to 507 of the family's 1533-position model. The record is from RNAcentral.